UAGGGAAUAUUGCACAAUGGGCGAAAGCCUGAUGCAGCAACGCCGCGUGCGCGAUGACGGCCUUCGGGUUGUAAAGCGCUUUUCGGGGAGAUGAGGAAGGACAGUAUCCCCGGAAUAAGGCUCGGCUAACUACGUGCCAGCAGCCGCGGUAACACGUAGGAGCCAAGCGUUAUCCGAAUUCACUGGGCGUAAAGCGCGUGCAGGCGGCUCGGUAAGUUGGAUGUGAAAGCUCCUGGCUCAACUGGGAGAGGACGUUCAAUACUGUCGAGCUAGAGGGCGACAGAGGGAGGUGGAAUUCCCGGUGUAGUGGUGAAAUGCGUAGAUAUCGGGAGGAACACCAGUGGCGAAAGCGGCCUCCUGGGUCGCACCUGACGCUCAGACGCGAAAGCUAGGGGAGCGAAUGGG
This 405-nucleotide ribosomal RNA is filed under the name uncultured Anaerolineaceae bacterium. RNAcentral describes it as "bacterial SSU rRNA". It matches the Rfam family "Bacterial small subunit ribosomal RNA", at positions 355 to 776 of the family's 1533-position model. Lineage: Bacteria; Bacillati; Chloroflexota; Anaerolineae; Anaerolineales; Anaerolineaceae. The record is from RNAcentral.